Long non-coding RNA from Megalobrama amblycephala (Wuchang bream), 3645 nucleotides. RefSeq lists it as uncharacterized. The transcript has 2 exons. NCBI's taxonomy places the organism in Eukaryota, Metazoa, Chordata, Actinopteri, Cypriniformes, Xenocyprididae. The record is from RefSeq and is a predicted model, not a curated record.
UAGUGUGCACUCUGAGCAGUGUUCAGUUCAUCUGGGCUAACCCAUGUGGGGCCUCCAUGGAAACCGUGGACAAAAAUGUCUGGGCCCAAGUUAGGCUGCCCAGGUGACACCCAUCUGGGCCCCACCAUGCUAUGUUGGCUGGGGUUGUUCCUGAGACAGCAUAUCUGCUCCCAGAUUGUUCUUUCCGGGUAUAUGAGUCGCUCUGAGUGACCGAACCCUUGGGGAUGCCCAUUCCAGAAGGAUUUUCACCAGAGCGCAUAAGCGGCUGGACGAAAGACCCCCCUGGCGAUUUAUAUAGGAGACCACUGUCAUACUGUCCGACUGGACUAAGACGUGGCGAUCCGUCAGAUAAGCCCGAAAGGCAUGGAGGGCUCGUGCCACUGACAGCAUUUCGAGGCAGUUGAUAUGUAGGUGGCUUUCCUCGUGUGUUCACGAGCCGUAGACCGGACUGCCCUCACACAGAGCGCCCCAACCCGAGUUGGACACGUCUGUCGAAAGUGUACUGUACUCCGAGUGUGAACCAAGUGGGGUUCAUCCAGGGCUUCAGGGCUGCCAGACAGACCUUGAGGCGCAGGUGACCGUGGCGCCAAGCGUAGGGAGGUACCCGAACCUUCAACCAGUACUGCAGAGGCCGCAUGCGAAGUAGGCCAAGCUGAAGAACUGGGAAGGUGGAAGCCAUGAGCCCUAGCAACCUCUGGAACAGCUUCAGAGGGAGGUAGGCUUUGUUCCUGAUGGAGGCCGCGAGCUGCUGAAUGGCCAGAGCGCACUCUGGCGAGACUACUGCCGUUAUACGGACAGAGUCGAAAACUGCGCCCAGGAACGAGAUACGUUGAGUGGGAAGCAGCGAGCUCUUGGCUGGGUUGACCCUGAGACCCAGGCACUGUAAGUGGCUGAGAAGCAUGGAUCUGUGGUGCUCUAGUUCUGUGCGCGAGCUGGCUAAAAUGAGCCAGUCGUCGAGGUAGUUUAAAACGCGUAUUCCCAUCUGUCUCAGAGGGGAAAGGGCCACGUUCAUGCACUUCGUAAAAGUGCGAGGAGCCAGGGAGAGCCCGAAGGGGAGGACCGUAUAUUGGUAAGCCACACCCUCGAACGCGAAUCUCAAGAAUCGCCUGUGAUGGGGGGCUAUCUGGAUGUGAAAGUAAGCGUCCUUCAGAUCCAGUGAACAGAACCAGUCCUUGUGGCAAAUCUGCGUGAGGAUCUGCUUCAGUGUCAGGACUUUGAACUUUCACUUCAUGAGGGAAAGGUUCAGUAACCUGAGGUCCAGAAUGGGUCUGAGACCGCCGUCUUUCUUCGGCACCAAGAAGUAACGGCUGUAGAAGCCCGACUCGCUCUCUGGGAAGGGGACUAUUUCUAUAGCCCCCUUUCUCAACAGAGUUAAAACCUCGGUUCGGAGGACAUGUGUGUCGUCCGCUUGUACCGAAGUCUGAAUAACCCCGCCACACCGCGGAGGUCUUCUGGCAAAUUGGAGCGAGUAGCCCUGGCUUAUGACCUUCAGAAUCCAGUCUGACACGCCGGGGAUGGCUUUCCAAGCCUUGGCCCGGGUGGCGAGAGGGAGAAUAAUAUCGGAUGACGGCCCGCUUAGAAGGGGGUCGAGCACCGCAUUGGGUGCUCUUUUGUGAAAUAUUUAAAAAAUGGGUCGCCGUGAAAACGGCGGUUUGUGAGGGCGCAGCACAUGUGGGCCCUAUUACAGCAGGUUGUGUUUCUCCCGCGCCCAGAUAUAAACGAGGCGGAGGGGAGUUUGCACGGGAGCGUUUUUGGGGGGGUCCGGCCGCGGCGGGACUUGCCCCAAUCCUCUUCCCUCUCAGACUAGGAUGACUUAGGGGUCACAGGGUCCAGCACAAUCCUGGGCCGGGGUCCCUGGCGCCUGGGGAAGGAGGAGCGCUUAGAAGGGCGCGAGCGCUGGCGUUGCUCCUUGGGCGGUGCUGCUUGGGAAGCAGAGGGGGCGGGCUUGGUCUGCUAAGCCGGCGCAGGCCUGGGGCGGCUAGAGGCAGACGCGGAGCUAGAGCGUUUCGGCAAAAAGUGUCUCAUAGCCUGAGAGGACUUUUGCGCCGCAGUAAAGCGCUCUGUGAAACCCUCCACCGCAGGUCCAAAGAGUCCAUACGGGGACACGGGGGCAUCUAAGAAGGCCGUCUUGUCCUGCUCCUUGAUCUCCGUCAGAUUCAGCCAUAGUUGGCGCUCCAGCACAACAAGGCUGGCCAUUGACCUGCCAAUGGCCUGGGCCGUGGCCUUCGUGGCCCGCAGGGCUAAGUCAGUAGCGCUGAGGAGGUCCUUAAAGGCAGGCGCAUCAAUACCGGACUCGUCCAGAGAGCGGAGGAGUUUGGCUUGAAAAACCUGAAAGAUGGCCAUAGAGUGAAGUGCUGAGGCGGCCUGACCCGCUGAGGUGUAGGCUCUUCCUGCUAGGGUCCUGCAGGGUUUGGACGGGAGGGCUCUCUUGGCUUUCCAUCCCACGGCCGCGGGAGGGCAGAGAUGAGCGGCCACUGCUUCGUCCAGGGGUGGCAGGUGUUCGUAUCCUUUUUCCUCCGCGCCGUCCAUGGCGGUGAGGGCCGAGCGGUGGGUCGUGUGUAGGCGGGCAGAGUAAGGGGCGCGCCACGACUUUGUCAGCACCUCGUGGACUUCGGGGAAGAAUGGGGCGGAGAGCUGGCUAGGGGCCUGGCGGCGGCCUGGAAGAAACCACUCGUCCAAGUGGCUCCGCGAUGGCUCCUCUGGCGGAGCCCAGUCGAGGUCCAGUCCCUCUACGGCCUUAGACAGGACGAGGAAUAACUCGGCGUCCAUGCCGGUGCCGUGUUCAAUCGGCUCCAAUGAAGGCAGGGGGGUGGGGUCGUCCGGCUCGCCAGCCCACGCUUCAUGCUCAGAGGCUGCCAUGGAUAAAGAGUCGAAGAGCAGCUCUUCAUCCGAUCCACCGAAGUAGACGAGGUAGCUCGCAUCUACCGAGGGACGGUGGUCUGGGCGGGAGAAUGAGACGGGGGUCUGCUCUCUGUGGGGAGAGGGCGAGGCACGCGGGCACUGGGCUGACGUGUGCUCGCCCGUCUCCAUGCGCUGAACUGUUCUGCCCCGCGGUCUUUUCCUGGCAGGCGCGGGAGACGGGAGGGCAUGAACAGGGGGGUCGCUCUCGGAGAAGAAGGCGGCCCGCGAGCGCAGAGACGCUAAACUCAUGCGUUCACAGUGUGGGCAUGAGCCGCCGGCAAGCGCGUCAUCCGCGUGGGCAACGCCCAGACAUCCAACGCACUCCCCGUGUCCGUCAUCUUCGUGCAGCAGGGCUCUGCACGUAGCACAGUGGUGAGGCAUUGAAAAAUGCCGGUAGCGCCGUGAAAACGGCGAUUGGGAGGCUCUUUAACGGCGAGGGCCGGGCUCGUAGCGGUGAAAACUGCUGGAAAGUUGCUCUGAGGCGCUGUAAGGUGACCGCGGGAAGACGCUUUCAGGGCGCGCCGGAUGGCGGCAGGAGACACGCUGGGAAGCGGCCGGUUCGUGGGAGCGGGAGGCGGCGGCUCGAUGACGGCGCAAAGGCGGCAGUCGGCGAGGGCGCGGGCGCUGCGAGGAUCCGGCGAGUCAGCGGGGUCCGCUGCAGGGCCUCUUCGACGGCGGCAAGCUUCUUUCUCGGAAAAUGUGGGCCACCACCACAUCUGAACUCUGCAGAUACAACGGAAAUGG